UCCGGGUGGAUUAGUGGCGACGGGUGAGUAACACGUGGGCAAUCUGCCCUUCACUCUGGGACAAGCCCUGGAAACGGGGUCUAAUACCGGAUAACACUCUGUCCCGCAUGGGACGGGGUUAAAAGCUCCGGCGGUGAAGGAUGAGCCCGCGGCCUAUCAGCUUGUUGGUGGGGUGAUGGCCUACCAAGGCGACGACGGGUAGCCGGCCUGAGAGGGCGACCGGCCACACUGGGACUGAGACACGGCCCAGACUCCUACGGGAGGCAGCAGUGGGGAAUAUUGCACAAUGGGCGAAAGCCUGAUGCAGCGACGCCGCGUGAGGGAUGACGGCCUUCGGGUUGUAAACCUCUUUCAGCAGGGAAGAAGCGAAAGUGACGGUACCUGCAGAAGAAGCGCCGGCUAACUACGUGCCAGCAGCCGCGGUAAUACGUAGGGCGCAAGCGUUGUCCGGAAUUAUUGGGCGUAAAGAGCUCGUAGGCGGCUUGUCACGUCGGAUGUGAAAGCCCGGGGCUUAACCCCGGGUCUGCAUUCGAUACGGGCUAGCUAGAGUGUGGUAGGGGAGAUCGGAAUUCCUGGUGUAGCGGUGAAAUGCGCAGAUAUCAGGAGGAACACCGGUGGCGAAGGCGGAUCUCUGGGCCAUUACUGACGCUGAGGAGCGAAAGCGUGGGGAGCGAACAGGAUUAGAUACCCUGGUAGUCCACGCCGUAAACGUUGGGAACUAGGUGUUGGCGACAUUCCACGUCGUCGGUGCCGCAGCUAACGCAUUAAGUUCCCCGCCUGGGGAGUACGGCCGCAAGGCUAAAACUCAAGGAAUUGACGGGGGGCCCGCACAAG
This 834-nucleotide ribosomal RNA is filed under the name Streptomyces sp. RNAcentral describes it as "bacterial SSU rRNA". It matches the Rfam family "Bacterial small subunit ribosomal RNA", at positions 82 to 929 of the family's 1533-position model. Lineage: Bacteria; Bacillati; Actinomycetota; Actinomycetes; Kitasatosporales; Streptomycetaceae. The record is from RNAcentral.